GUCAAAUUAGAGGAAGUAAAAGUCGUAACAAGGUUUCCGUAGGUGAACCUGCGGAAGGAUCAUUAACGAGUUUGAAAUCGAGAGCCUGUUGCUGGUGCGGAAACGCACAUCGUGCACGGCUCCCGUGCUCAAUCCAUUUCAACCCCCUUGUGCACCUUAUCGAAGUCAGUAGUCUUUCUCUUUUUGUUUGCCGGUUGUGUGCGGGAACCUCUUUCUGUUCACUUGGCCGGCGAGGAGAAAUAGAGGGUCGAAAGCUUUGACUUUUCUGUUAAACACUUUGUAUGUCUUGUGGAACGUAUUAGCUCCUUUGUAGGGGCGAAAUAAAUACAACUUUCAACAACGGAUCUCUUGGCUCUCGCAUCGAUGAAGAACGCAGCGAAAUGCGAUAAGUAAUGUGAAUUGCAGAAUUCAGUGAAUCAUCGAAUCUUUGAACGCACCUUGCGCCCCUUGGUAUUCCGAGGGGCAUGCCUGUUUGAGUGUCAUGUUAAUCUCAAACCCCUUGUCUUUUUUGUUGACUUGGUCGGUUUGGACUUGGAGGUGUUGCUGGCGUGCGUCGGCUCCUCUUAAUUGCAUUAGCUGGACUUUGGUUCGCAUUUGACGGUGUAAUAGUAAAGUGUUCGCCGGGCGUGCUUGCCUAACGGGUCUGCUUCUAAUCGUCUUCGGACAACUCUGUUCAUUUUGACCUUUGACCUCAAAUCAGGUAGGACUACCCGCUGAACUUAAGCAUAUCAAUAAGCGGAGGAAAAGAAACUAACAAGGAUUCCCCUAGUAACUGCGAGUGAAGCGGGAAGAGCUCAAAUUUAAAAUCUGGCGGCUUUCGGUCGUCCGAGUUGUAAUCUGGAGAGGCAUUUUCCGCGCUGGACCGUGUAC
Molecule: ribosomal RNA, 870 nt
Filed under: Phellinus sp. YD-2015
Lineage: Eukaryota; Fungi; Basidiomycota; Agaricomycetes; Hymenochaetales; Hymenochaetaceae
Description: eukaryotic LSU rRNA
Rfam family: 5.8S ribosomal RNA (bases 329-482)
Source: RNAcentral